This is a long non-coding RNA of Grammomys surdaster, 469 nucleotides long. RefSeq lists it as uncharacterized. The transcript is spliced from 3 exons. Lineage: Eukaryota; Metazoa; Chordata; Mammalia; Rodentia; Muridae. The record is from RefSeq and is a predicted model, not a curated record.
ACACCAAGGACAGAGCACGUUUGAUUGUUGUAGAGAAGAAAAUGUUCUGUGUCCAGUUGGCCUUGCACUUCGUACCACCAUGAUGAUGUAAGUGGUAGCCAGACAACAGUAAAGUUGUAGCAAAGAGAAGCAGCCUCUGUGAAGAACACAUCCAAUGAGGAUGAGGAGCAAGGGACUCAGAGACAGUCUCUACCUAUGGCACCAAGACAACUUAAGCUUGCCUCCUGUGCCCAACAACAUUCAUCUCCAACAUUGCUGUGAAGAGGGAGCUCAAGACUAAGAAGGAACAUCAUUCUAGAGGACAGAUAGAUGCUGUGCUGGAUUGGAUGAGACCAUUGGACCCCAUCUCCUAUGUCCUCAUCAGCCUCAGACUACCGAGAACAAGAGUGAGAACCCAGCCUGUUUCCUACCUUUUUUUCACCAACAGAACACUGAGCAAGAGAUCCUAGACUUCCAGUCUGGGCCCGAG